This 2180-nucleotide ribosomal RNA is filed under the name Sporolithon crypticum. RNAcentral's name for it is "eukaryotic LSU rRNA". It matches the Rfam family "Eukaryotic large subunit ribosomal RNA", at positions 51 to 2189 of the family's 3401-position model. The record is from RNAcentral. Lineage: Eukaryota; Rhodophyta; Florideophyceae; Sporolithales; Sporolithaceae.
CGGAGGAAAAGAAACUAACCAGGAUUCCCUUAGUAGCGGCGAGCGAAGUGGGAUCAGCCCAGGAUGAAAAUCUCUUCGGAGAGUUGUAGUCUGGACAAUGUUGAGGGGUCAACUAGAGUAAGUCACAUGGAAUUGUGCACCACGGAGGGUGAGAGUCCCGUCCUGCUCUAGUAAGGGCUUUCUCGUACGACAUUGUUUCAACCGAGUCGGGUAGCUUGGGAAUGCUGCUCUAAGUGGUGGUAAACUUCAUCAAAGGCUAAAUACUGGUGGGAGACCGAUAGCGAACAAGUACCGUGAGGGAAAGAUGGAAAGCACUUUGAAAAGAGGGUGAAAAGCACCUGAAACCGUCAUGGGGGAAGCGGAUUGCGCGAGUGUUGGCUUGUUGGCUGUUCAGCCUUGCUUCGGCAGGGUGUAUUCAGCUCUGGCUGUGUGGAUGUGGCCGUGAGGAUAGUGGAUGAUGCACUAUUUCAUGGUGAGGGAUCCCUUUUUGGUGAGGACAUUCACGAAAUGACGCAAUUCGACCCGUCUUGAAACACGGACCAAGGAGUCUAGCACGACUGCAAGUCAAAGGGUGACUCAAAGCCCAAGGGCGCAGUGAAAGCAAAACACGUUUGAAUAAAACGAAAGAUGGAUAAAACUGAUCGAGGAGGCAUGGCGUCGUUGACAAAAUGUUCUACCUAGAGCAGUUGUGCUGGGACCCGAAAGAUGGUGAACUAUGCUUGGAUAGGGCAAAGCCAGGGGAAACUCUGGUGGAGGCUCGUAGCGAUGCUGACGUGCAAAUCGCUCGUCGAAUUUGAGUAUAGGGGCGAAAGACUAAUCGAACCAUCUAGUAGCUGGUUCCCUCCGAAGUUUCUCUCAGGAUAGCAGACCAACUUGUGGGUGAGUUGUUUUGUGCGGUAAAGCGAAUGAUUAGCGCACUUGGGGGUGCAAUGCCUUCUGGCGAUUCUCAAACUUUAAAUGCGCAAGAAAGAGAUGGUUGCUUGGACAAUGAACCUCUCAAUCUGGAAAACGUUGGUCUUGUGGGCCACUUUUGGUAAGCAGAACUGGCGAUACGGGAUGAACCGUAAGCGUGGUUAAGGCGUCCAAUUGCCCGCUUAUAGAUCCCACAAAAGGUGUUGAUUCAUCCAGACAGCAGGACGGUGGCCAUGGAAGUCGGAAUCCGCUAAGGAGUGUGUAACAACUCACCUGCCGAAUGAAUUAGCCCUGAAAAUGGAUGACGCUAAAGCGGACAGCCGACACCACGCCGUUUGGGUAAGACACGGCCUAAAUGAGUAGGAGGGCGUGGCGGUCUUGUAAAGAAGGUGAGAGCGCAAGCUCCACUGAAACGGCCGCUAGUGCAGAUCUUGGUGGUAGUAGCAAAUAUUCAAGCGGGAUCCUUGAAGGGCGAAGCGGGGAAGGGUUCCACGCAAACACUGAUUGGGCGUGGGUGAGUCGUACCUAAGCCAGCUGGUAAUGGUUGAUCAAAACUGGCGAAAGGGAAGCGGGUUAAAAUUCUCGCACACGGAUGUGGAGGCGGUGACGCAAACCGAGUCGAAGACGUCGGUGAUAGCGCUGGGCAGAGUUUUCUUUUCUGUUUGACCUGCGAGACGCAUAGUGUGGAAUCCGAUUAUCGGGAGAAACACAUGCCGAGGGGCAGAGCGCCGGGAUUCUCCGGCGUCCAGCACGCUAUUGACGACCCUUGAAAAUUCGAUCUCGACAAUGUGCUUUUUCUCUACUUCAUUUUCUCUUUCUGCAGCAUUUCUCUUCGGAGUGUGUUGUAGGUGGGGGUGGGGUUGUAGGGGAGUGCGAUAAUUUCACGCCGUGGCGUACCGAUAACCGCAUCAGGUCCCCAAGGUGAACAGCCUCUGCUCAAUAUGAACAAUGCAGGUAAGGGAAGUCGGCAAAAUAGACCCGUAACUUUGGGAAAAGGGUUGGCUCUAGUGAGGCGGAGGAUAGAGGAGGGAGGCAGAGCUUGCUUUGUUUUUUCCUUUUCUUCCAAAUGGACUGUGGGGGUUUGGAUAGAGUGCGGACCUUGUGGCUAGCAAGGGCGAAAGCCCAUGUUUGGCUGCUCGGACUGUGCACUAUUCUGGGCGUUCACAGUCCGCCUCCAGCAUGUCUCAGACUAGAACUGCAACGGGCAAGGGGAAUCCGACUGUUUAAUAAAACAAAGCAUUGCGAUGGCCGGGACGGUGUAAACCCAU